Molecule: unclassified non-coding RNA, 268 nt
Filed under: Bjerkandera adusta
Lineage: Eukaryota; Fungi; Basidiomycota; Agaricomycetes; Polyporales; Phanerochaetaceae
Also listed under: 1 other name
Description: partial internal transcribed spacer region
Rfam family: Eukaryotic small subunit ribosomal RNA (bases 1-46)
Source: RNAcentral
AAGUCGUAACAAGGUUUCCGUAGGUGAACCUGCGGAAGGAUCAUUAUCGAGUUUUGAACGGGUUGUCUGCUGGCUCGCAAGGGCAUGUGCACGCCUGUCUCAUCCACUCUCAACUUCUGUGCACUUUUCAUAGGCCGGCUUGUGGGUGCGUUCGCGCACUUGUAGGUGUCGGGCUUAUGCUUUACUACAAACGAUUCAGUUUUAGAAUGUCAUACUUUGCUAUAACGCAAUUUAUAUACAACUUUCAGCAACGGAUCUCUUGGCUCUC